CCCGGGUCUUGUACACACCGCCCGUCACACCAUGGAAGUGGGUUUUACCAGAAGUAGGUAGUCUAACCGCAAGGGGGACGCUUACCACGGUGAGAUUCAUGACUGGGGUG
This 110-nucleotide ribosomal RNA is filed under the name uncultured bacterium. Its description in RNAcentral is "partial 16S ribosomal RNA". It matches the Rfam family "Bacterial small subunit ribosomal RNA", at positions 1373 to 1482 of the family's 1533-position model. The record is from RNAcentral.